CAAUCAAACCGGGAGAUAGCUGGUUCUCCCCGAAAGCUAUUUAGGUAGCGCCUCGUGAAUUCAUCUCCGGGGGUAGAGCACUGUUUCGGCUAGGGGGCCAUCCCGGCUUACCAACCCGAUGCAAACUGCGAAUACCGGAGAAUGUUAUCACGGGAGACACACGGCGGGUGCUAACGUCCGUCGUGAAGAGGGAAACAACCCAGACCGCCAGCUAAGGUCCCAAAGUCAUGGUUAAGUGGGAAACGAUGUGGGAAGGCCCAGACAGCCAGGAUGUUGGCUUAGAAGCAGCCAUCAUUUAAAGAAAGCGUAAUAGCUCACUGGUCGAGUCGGCCUGCGCGGAAGAUGUAACGGGGCUAAACCAUGCACCGAAGCUGCGGCAGCGAACGUAUCACCCAAGACAACUUUACGGAGUUGACGAUUGACGGAGCGAAGCGACGUCAAAGCGUUCAUUAAAGUCGAGUUGGCUUAGGGAUACGUUCGUUGGGUAGGGGAGCGUUCUGUAAGCCUGUGAAGGUGUGUCGUGAGGCAUGCUGGAGGUAUCAGAAGUGCGAAUGCUGACAUAAGUAACGAUAAAGCGGGUGAAAAGCCCGCUCGCCGGAAGACCAAGGGUUCCUGUCCAACGUUAAUCGGGGCAGGGUGAGUCGACCCCUAAGGCGAGGCCGAAAGGCGUAGUCGAUGGGAAACGGGUUAAUAUUCCCGUACUUGGUGUUACUGCGAAGGGGGGACGGAGAAGGCUAUGUUGGCCGGGCGACGGUUGUCCCGGUUUAAGCGUGUAGGUGUGUGUUCCAGGUAAAUCCGGUUCACUUUAACACUGAGGCGUGACGACGAGGCACUACGGUGCUGAAGCAACAAAUGCCCUGCUUCCAGGAAAAGCCUCUAAGCAUCAGGUAACACGAAAUCGUACCCCAAACCGACACAGGUGGUCAGGUAGAGAAUACCAAGGCGCUUGAGAGAACUCGGGUGAAGGAACUAGGCAAAAUGGUGCCGUAACUUCGGGAGAAGGCACGCUGACACGUAGGUGAAGUGAUUUACUCAUGGAGCUGAAGUCAGUCGAAGAUACCAGCUGGCUGCAACUGUUUAUUAAAAACACAGCACUGUGCAAACACGAAAGUGGACGUAUACGGUGUGACGCCUGCCCGGUGCCGGAAGGUUAAUUGAUGGGGUCAGCGUAAGCGAAGCUCCUGAUCGAAGCCCCGGUAAACGGCGGCCGUAACUAUAACGGUCCUAAGGUAGCGAAAUUCCUUGUCGGGUAAGUUCCGACCUGCACGAAUGGCGUAAUGAUGGCCAGGCUGUCUCCACCCGAGACUCAGUGAAAUUGAACUCGCUGUGAAGAUGCAGUGUACCCGCGGCAAGACGGAAAGACCCCGUGAACCUUUACUAUAGCUUGACACUGAACAUUGAGCCUUGAUGUGUAGGAUAGGUGGGAGGCUUUGAAGUGUGGACGCCAGUCUGCAUGGAGCCGACCUUGAAAUACCACCCUUUAAUGUUUGAUGUUCUAACGUGGACCCGUAAUCCGGGUUGCGGACAGUGUCUGGUGGGUAGUUUGACUGGGGCGGUCUCCUCCUAAAGAGUAACGGAGGAGCACGAAGGUUGGCUAAUCCUGGUCGGACAUCAGGAGGUUAGUGCAAUGGCAUAAGCCAGCUUGACUGCGAGCGUGACGGCGCGAGCAGGUGCGAAAGCAGGUCAUAGUGAUCCGGUGGUUCUGAAUGGAAGGGCCAUCGCUCAACGGAUAAAAGGUACUCCGGGGAUAACAGGCUGAUACCGCCCAAGAGUUCAUAUCGACGGCGGUGUUUGGCACCUCGAUGUCGGCUCAUCACAUCCUGGGGCUGAAGUAGGUCCCAAGGGUAUGGCUGUUCGCCAUUUAAAGUGGUACGCGAGCUGGGUUUAGAACGUCGUGAGACAGUUCGGUCCCUAUCUGCCGUGGGCGCUGGAGAACUGAGGGGGGCUGCUCCUAGUACGAGAGGACCGGAGUGGACGCAUCACUGGUGUUCGGGUUGUCAUGCCAAUGGCACUGCCCGGUAGCUAAAUGCGGAAGAGAUAAGUGCUGAAAGCAUCUAAGCACGAAACUUGCCCCGA
RNAcentral lists this ribosomal RNA (2076 nucleotides) under Salmonella enterica. RNAcentral describes it as "partial 23S ribosomal RNA". It matches the Rfam family "Bacterial large subunit ribosomal RNA", at positions 830 to 2802 of the family's 2925-position model. Lineage: Bacteria; Pseudomonadati; Pseudomonadota; Gammaproteobacteria; Enterobacterales; Enterobacteriaceae. RNAcentral also lists the same sequence under 2 other names. The record is from RNAcentral.